Vespa velutina is the source of this 816-nucleotide long non-coding RNA. RefSeq lists it as uncharacterized. The record is from RefSeq and is a predicted model, not a curated record. NCBI's taxonomy places the organism in Eukaryota, Metazoa, Arthropoda, Insecta, Hymenoptera, Vespidae. The transcript has 3 exons.
UAGAAAUAUAACGAUUGUUUGAUAAUGUAUUAACGUUACAAAGAUAUUGUAAUGAUCAUCGAACACAUAUAAGAGAAUCAUAAAAGGUGCAUUGUCCCCUAUGAUGCAUGCAAGCAUUGAAAUUUCCAGCUCGUAGAAUAACGGGAGACACAAACGCACGGCGAAGCAAUGAUCUCUAGUAUUCGCAUUGUUGGCAAAUGCACGUCGUUCACUUUUACUAACGCGGUCAAGCUAAAUGCUUCUACGAUUAUUCUCUCUGUAACAGAUAUAAAAUACGAAGAGUAUGAAAAUGUUAAAAGGAAGAAAUUACAAAAAAAAAGAAAAAAAAUAUAGCAACGAACACGAUCAUUUAUAAUCAUAUGAAAAUAUUUAAUUUAUUUAUUAAUUUUCAAAUUUAUCAAAAAAGUUGUACGAUUUUCAAAAUAAAUUCGGAUAUACGCGUGAAUCAUUCUUCUGAAUAUAUGUUUACAUUUAAAGAACAUUUGAUCGUGCAGACACUCCGUACUUUAAAUUCCAAAGGAGAAGAAAUAAGAGAUAGAUAGAUAAAUAAAUAGAUAGAUAGAGAGAGAGAGAGAGAGAGAGAAGGGGGGAAGGGAGGAAGAAAAAGUAAGAAAAAUUCUUUCCCGUACACAGAUUGAGAGCAUGGCAGUUCACUUCCGACACGUAGUAUACAGCUAUAUAGCAUGCAUUAGACGCAUUCAAGGUCGAUCAAGAGAACUGGAGCAUGUUACGAGGACUUCUGAUAAGCGUUGCAAACUUGCCGUAAUUAUUCGAGGCCGUUUCUUUACUUGCUCGUUGAAAAGAAAGCCUGUUUUU